UUCGGGCGCCGGCGAGUGGCGAACGGGUGAGUAACACGUAGAGACCUAUCCUUUGGUGGGGGACAACAGCUGGAAACGGCUGCUAAUACCGCAUACGCCCUACGGGGGAAAGAUUUAUUGCCGAAGGAGGGUUCCGCGUCGGAUUAGCUAGUUGGUGGGGUAACGGCCUACCAAGGCGACGAUCCGUAGCUGGUCUUAGAGGAUGAUCAGCCACACUGGGACUGAGACACGGCCCAGACUCCUACGGGAGGCAGCAGUGGGGAAUAUUGCGCAAUGGGGGAAACCCUGACGCAGCGAUGCCGCGUGGGUGAAGAAGGCCUUAGGGUUGUAAAGCCCUUUCAGUGGGAACGAUAGUGACGGUACCCACAGAAGAAGCCCCGGCUAACUCCGUGCCAGCAGCCGCGGUAAUACGGAGGGGGCGAGCGUUGUUCGGAAUUAUUGGGCGUAAAGCGCGCGUAGGCGGUUUAUCAAG
This 472-nucleotide ribosomal RNA is filed under the name uncultured Magnetococcus sp. RNAcentral's name for it is "bacterial SSU rRNA". It matches the Rfam family "Bacterial small subunit ribosomal RNA", at positions 79 to 587 of the family's 1533-position model. The record is from RNAcentral. Lineage: Bacteria; Pseudomonadati; Pseudomonadota; Magnetococcia; Magnetococcales; Magnetococcaceae.